CUCUUCCCAGGCCCAGGCUCGUCCGCCGGUUCCGCCUCCAGAGAGUGACGUCAAUACGCGGCGUCGGAGCUGCUGCCAUCUUGUGGUUGGAUCUGUCACCCCAUUAACCAGACAGCAUUUUUACCUGUGAACCAAGUGGCAGAAGCAGACGACUGAUAUUUUAAGGAGAAGGAAAGGAGCAAGGCAUUAUGGGAACUUUCUUUACAGAACUCAGCG
Molecule: long non-coding RNA, 216 nt
Organism: Xenopus tropicalis (tropical clawed frog)
Lineage: Eukaryota; Metazoa; Chordata; Amphibia; Anura; Pipidae
Exons: 3
Source: RefSeq, a predicted model, not a curated record